RNAcentral lists this ribosomal RNA (253 nucleotides) under uncultured bacterium. Its description in RNAcentral is "partial 16S ribosomal RNA". It matches the Rfam family "Bacterial small subunit ribosomal RNA", at positions 524 to 776 of the family's 1533-position model. The record is from RNAcentral.
UACAGAGGGGGCAAGCGUUGUUCGGAAUUACUGGGCGUAAAGGGCGCGUAGGCGGCCUGCUAAGUCGAACGUGAAAUCCCUGGGCUCAACCCAGGAACUGCGUCCGAUACUGGUUGGCUUGAAUCCGGGAGAGGGAUGUGGAAUUCCAGGUGUAGCGGUGAAAUGCGUAGAUAUUGGGAAGAACACCCGUGGCGAAGGCGGUUCUCUGGGACGGUACUGACGCUGAGACGCGAAAGCGUGGGGAGCGAACAGG